UGGGGAAUAUUGGACAAUGGGCGAAAGCCUGAUCCAGCAAUGCCGCGUGAGUGAUGAAGGCCUUAGGGUUGUAAAGCUCUUUUUACCAGGGAUGAUAAUGACAGUACCUGGAGAAUAAGCUCCGGCUAACUCCGUGCCAGCAGCCGCGGUAAUACGGAGGGAGCUAGCGUUGUUCGGAUUUACUGGGCGUAAAGGGCGCGUAGGCGGCAAUUCAAGUCAUCUGUGAAAUCUCCGGGCUUAACUCGGAACGGUCAGAUGAUACUGCUUUGCUAGAGUGCAGAAGGGGCAAUCGGAAUUCUUGGUGUAGCGGUGAAAUGCGUAGAUAUCAAGAGGAACACCUGAGGUGAAGACGGGUUGCUGGGCUGACACUGACGCUGAGGCGCGAAAGCCAGGGGAGCAAACGGGAUUAGAUACCCAUGUAGUCCCUGAGCGGGCUGGCAAGGCGCAU
RNAcentral lists this ribosomal RNA (448 nucleotides) under uncultured bacterium. RNAcentral describes it as "bacterial SSU rRNA". It matches the Rfam family "Bacterial small subunit ribosomal RNA", at positions 355 to 825 of the family's 1533-position model. The record is from RNAcentral.